This 1554-nucleotide ribosomal RNA is filed under the name Escherichia coli. RNAcentral's name for it is "bacterial SSU rRNA". It matches the Rfam family "Bacterial small subunit ribosomal RNA". Lineage: Bacteria; Pseudomonadati; Pseudomonadota; Gammaproteobacteria; Enterobacterales; Enterobacteriaceae. The record is from RNAcentral.
AAAUUGAAGAGUUUGAUCAUGGCUCAGAUUGAACGCUGGCGGCAGGCCUAACACAUGCAAGUCGAACGGUAACAGGAAGAAGCUUGCUUCUUUGCUGACGAGUGGCGGACGGGUGAGUAAUGUCUGGGAAACUGCCUGAUGGAGGGGGAUAACUACUGGAAACGGUAGCUAAUACCGCAUAACGUCGCAAGACCAAAGAGGGGGACCUUCGGGCCUCUUGCCAUCGGAUGUGCCCAGAUGGGAUUAGCUUGUUGGUGGGGUAACGGCUCACCAAGGCGACGAUCCCUAGCUGGUCUGAGAGGAUGACCAGCCACACUGGAACUGAGACACGGUCCAGACUCCUACGGGAGGCAGCAGUGGGGAAUAUUGCACAAUGGGCGCAAGCCUGAUGCAGCCAUGCCGCGUGUAUGAAGAAGGCCUUCGGGUUGUAAAGUACUUUCAGCGGGGAGGAAGGGAGUAAAGUUAAUACCUUUACUCAUUGACGUUACCCGCAGAAGAAGCACCGGCUAACUCCGUGCCAGCAGCCGCGGUAAUACGGAGGGUGCAAGCGUUAAUCGGAAUUACUGGGCGUAAAGCGCACGCAGGCGGUUUGUUAAGUCAGAUGUGAAAUCCCCGGGCUCAACCUGGGAACUGCAUCUGAUACUGGCAAGCUUGAGUCUCGUAGAGGGGGGUAGAAUUCCAGGUGUAGCGGUGAAAUGCGUAGAGAUCUGGAGGAAUACCGGUGGCGAAGGCGGCCCCCUGGACGAAGACUGACGCUCAGGUGCGAAAGCGUGGGGAGCAAACAGGAUUAGAUACCCUGGUAGUCCACGCCGUAAACGAUGUCGACUUGGAGGUUGUGCCCUUGAGGCGUGGCUUCCGGAGCUAACGCGUUAAGUCGACCGCCUGGGGAGUACGGCCGCAAGGUUAAAACUCAAAUGAAUUGACGGGGGCCCGCACAAGCGGUGGAGCAUGUGGUUUAAUUCGAUGCAACGCGAAGAACCUUACCUGGUCUUGACAUCCACAGAACUUUCCAGAGAUGGAUUGGUGCCUUCGGGAACUGUGAGACAGGUGCUGCAUGGCUGUCGUCAGCUCGUGUUGUGAAAUGUUGGGUUAAGUCCCGCAACGAGCGCAACCCUUAUCCUUUGUUGCCAGCGGUCCGGCCGGGAACUCAAAGGAGACUGCCAGUGAUAAACUGGAGGAAGGUGGGGAUGACGUCAAGUCAUCAUGGCCCUUACGACCAGGGCUACACACGUGCUACAAUGGCGCAUACAAAGAGAAGCGACCUCGCGAGAGCAAGCGGACCUCAUAAAGUGCGUCGUAGUCCGGAUUGGAGUCUGCAACUCGACUCCAUGAAGUCGGAAUCGCUAGUAAUCGUGGAUCAGAAUGCCACGGUGAAUACGUUCCCGGGCCUUGUACACACCGCCCGUCACACCAUGGGAGUGGGUUGCAAAAGAAGUAGGUAGCUUAACCUUCGGGAGGGCGCUUACCACUUUGUGAUUCAUGACUGGGGUGAAGUCGUAACAAGGUAACCGUAGGGGAACCUGCGGUUGGAUCACCUCCUUACCUUAAAGAAGC